Parus major (Great Tit) is the source of this 1952-nucleotide long non-coding RNA. RefSeq lists it as uncharacterized. The transcript has 2 exons. The record is from RefSeq and is a predicted model, not a curated record. Lineage: Eukaryota; Metazoa; Chordata; Aves; Passeriformes; Paridae.
UGAAAGAGGAUGAUAGAGUCCAACUCCUUGUUUUGCACAGGACCAUCCCUUAGAGUCACACCCUGUGCCUGACAGCACUGUCCAAACACUUCUUGAAGUCAGUCAGCCUUAGCGCUGUGCCCACUUCCCUGUGAGCCUGUUCCAGUGCUCAAACAGCCCCUGCGGGAAGAACCUUUGCCUGAUAUCCAGCCUAAACCUCUCCUGGCUCAGCCUCGGGCCGUUCCCUCGCCUCCUGUCCCCGGUUCCCUCACGAGGUGCUGGGGCUGGCGAGCAGCGGGGCCCGGCAGGAGCGGCCCGGCGAGGCUGAGGCGGCAACACCGCCCUCCCCCUUCCCUCCCCCGGCGGGCGCUGCCGGAGCCACGGCCGCCUCCGAGGGCCGUGGCGGGGACGCCAUGAACUGCUGGGACCCGGCCCAGAGGUGACGGGGCCGGGGAGAAGGGAGAAGGAGGGAGGGGGACUCUCGGUGGAGCUCCGGGCGGCUGCGGGACCCCGAACGGUGCCCUCUUCCUCCCCUGGCCCCUGAAACCCGCCGGCACUCCGGGUUGGAUGCCAGCACAACAAAAAUUAUUGUGGAAAACUGCAGAGGAGCGCCGGUUGUGUCGGUGGGUGUUUCACGGCACCUGCUGGAAAAGGCUGCAACUGCGUCCUUGGGCCGGGAUUAAUACAAGAAGGAGUGACCGAGGGACAGACUUUACUCCUUGGGUGUGCUGCAGUCCCUCCUGGGCGUGGAUACACACACAUUCCUCGGGCACUGCGGGAGAGUGCGUGUUUGUUUGCCUCUCUUGUUCUUAUCUCCAAUGCCUUAUGAAACUGGCAGCAGUGCACAAGCCUCGUACACCUUUAUGUGCAUAUAGCGCAUGUUAGUGGUGUUUUAUUUCUUAGGGGGUCCUGAAAGGGCUCUGCUGUUCUUUAAGUAUUAGCUGUUGAUAACUUCCAAUAGCUAUACUAUCAAAUAAGAGAAAAAAAUAAAAUAAACCCUGCAGGAUUUUAACUGACAAAGAUUUAAUGAAGCCAGUUAAGUUGUUCUAUUCAUUUAUGAGGCUGUAGAUCUCUCUCCUUCUUCAAACCUUGUGUUGGAGUUUAUUGGUGGGAGAAGGUGACAGGAAAAAAAAAACAACAAAACAAACAGGUUGUGUAGGUAUAGGCCUUUUGAUAGCUCAGAAUUAAAUAUCUUCUGAAACUAUAUGUUUAAUAGAGAAGAAAACAAAAAAUCCAACAAGAACAUUGUUCUUUCAAGCAUCAUUGAUGCUUUUUCCUUUGUUUGUUUUUAAACAGAAGCACAACAUUGAAGAGGAUACUUCUUUCUUCAGUAAAUUACAUAUUCCUGGUUUAGCAGGUGAAAGUUUAUUAAACUGGUUGUUGCUGUUCAUUGAUGCUCACAGAAUUGUAGACUGUGCUGUGCACUUAGAUUCCACAGUGUUAUUCUGACUUGAGCUGGACCUUGAGAGUGCUGUUAGCUUUUUGCACAAAAACCAAAGUUUGCAACUUUUGAGAUCACAUUCAACUAGUUGGUGGAGUACUGUUUAUACAUAGUAACAGUAAUUUUCUACAUUAUCUAAUGGCAUUAUUUAACAAUGGCAAUAUAACAACUUUUUAGAUCUCCAGGAACAAAUAUUCUGUGGUGCAUGUAUUUUCUCGAUAGCAAAUUUCAUGCUCAUUUUCCUUCCUCUUUUAUGGUAGACCACGAAGUUGUUAUUGUCACUCACCUGCUCACAUACACCAGGAACUUCCUCUGCUUCUUGAGAAAUUUUCCACCAAAAAAUAGGAACUGAAAGUACAAUUCUAUCAAGUCUUGCAACUUCCUUUCACUUAAUAUAUUCAAUGUUAUUUCAAGUAAUUUUGUAUAUUAUGUUUUGUGACCAUUACUGAUUUUUAACAUUUCUUUUUCUUUGAAAAAUUAUUUGGGUCAGAUGAUAUACACACUUCAAAAAUUUCAAAUGGGAAAAAAAACA